Molecule: non-coding RNA, 819 nt
Organism: Pelobates cultripes (western spadefoot toad)
Lineage: Eukaryota; Metazoa; Chordata; Amphibia; Anura; Pelobatidae
Source: the annotation of a GenBank genome assembly
GUCCUACAUUUUACAUACAUGUAUGCAGUUCCUCUUUUAUUUAUUUUUAGUUCCACUAUAUUUACUAUAUGUUUCAGGGUUCUCGAUAAGUUGCACCCUUUACAAUGUGAUGUCUGCAACGUGCCAAAUGAACUCGUUUUACUCCGUUCCCUAACUUUCUGAUUGAAAUUAGUACUUUUCAUUUAUAUGUUGAUUGUAUAUAUGUUCAUUACUUUGGCUCCAAUGAAGAGAUAAAUAUGAGAACAAAUAUUCAUAACCUAGAACAUCAUUCAAGCAGCCUUCAACAUGGAAAGCCUUUAUAAUUUAUGAUAUUAUCUUAUUUAUUUAAUAGUGAGCAUUGCACAGUUAGCAGUAAUUCAUCAAGUUGUGCUGAUUUAAUUUAUAAAGUGUUUAUCAUCUAUCUAUCUAUCUAUCUAUCUAUCUAUCUAUCUAUCUAUCUGUCUGUCUGUCUAUCAAUCACAUUAGAACUUUGUGCAACCAAUAGGAGAUAUGUAGAUUUGUAAUCUGCAGUUUUUAAUUAACUGUUAACAAAAGCAAACGCCCCCCUUUUGGCUGGUGCCAGUGACAGGAUUUUUGUCACUAGCCCACCUCCUUUUACCUGGCCCACUGACAUCCUGCUUCACAAGAUGACGAUGUUUGGGGGUAUGGGUUUGGUUGAGAAAUGAAAGCAAGUGAUUAACACAGGGUAUGUUUAUUCUUAUCAAUGCAUCCUGUAAGUUCCCUUCAGCAAAACCCCUUCCAGAUACAUGACACUUAUGAUGUAUGGCUGUUUCAGUGUUUUCUGUUGAAAAUUUUCUUUAAUUAGGUCCACUAUAAUUG